This 424-nucleotide ribosomal RNA is filed under the name uncultured bacterium. RNAcentral's name for it is "bacterial SSU rRNA". It matches the Rfam family "Bacterial small subunit ribosomal RNA", at positions 355 to 776 of the family's 1533-position model. The record is from RNAcentral.
UAGGGAAUAUUGGGCAAUGGAAGAGAUUCUGACCCAGCCAUGCCGCGUGCAGGAUGAAGGCUUUCUGAGUCGUAAACUGCUUUUGCCAGGGAAGAAAAAAGGGGAUGCGUCCUCUACUGACGGUACCUGGUGAAUAAGCACCGGCUAACUCCGUGCCAGCAGCCGCGGUAAUACGGAGGGUGCAAGCGUUGUCCGGAUUUAUUGGGUUUAAAGGGUGCGUAGGCGGCCGAUUAAGUCUGGGGUGAAAGCCCGUUGCUCAACAACGGAACUGCCCUGGAAACUGGUUGGCUUGAGUACAGACGAGGGCGGCGGAAUGGAUGCUGUAGCGGUGAAAUGCAUAGAUAGCAUCCAGAACCCCGAUUGCGAAGGCAGCUGCCUAGACUGUAACUGACGCUGAGGCACGAAAGCGUGGGGAGCGAACAGG